CGAAGGGUGCAAGCGUUACUCGGAAUUACUGGGCGUAAAGCGUGCGUAGGCGGUUUGUUAAGUCUGUCGUGAAAGCCCCGGGCUCAACCUGGGAAUGGCGAUGGAUACUGGCGAGCUAGAGUACGGUAGAGGGGGAUGGAAUUCCGCGUGUAGCAGUGAAAUGCGUAGAUAUGCGGAGGAACACCGAUGGCGAAGGCAAUCCCCUGGACCUGUACUGACGCUCAUGCACGAAAGCGUGGGGAGCAAACAGGAUUAGAUACCCUGGUAGUCCACGCCCUAAACGAUGUCAACUGGUUGUUGGGUCUUCACUGACUCAGUAACGAAGCUAACGCGUGAAGUUGACCGCCUGGGGAGUACGGCCGCAAGGUUG
RNAcentral lists this ribosomal RNA (370 nucleotides) under uncultured organism. Its description in RNAcentral is "bacterial SSU rRNA". It matches the Rfam family "Bacterial small subunit ribosomal RNA", at positions 526 to 896 of the family's 1533-position model. The record is from RNAcentral.